This 460-nucleotide ribosomal RNA is filed under the name uncultured bacterium. RNAcentral's name for it is "partial 16S ribosomal RNA". It matches the Rfam family "Bacterial small subunit ribosomal RNA", at positions 338 to 795 of the family's 1533-position model. The record is from RNAcentral.
CCUACGGGUGGCAGUAGUGAGGAAUAUUGGUCAAUGGGCGAGAGCCUGAACCAGCAAAGUCGCGUGAAGGAUGACGGCCCUACGGGUUGUAACCUUCUUUUGUCAGGGAGCAAUUGAGUCCACGUGUGGUCUUAGCGAGAGUACCUGACGAAAAAGCAUCGGCUAACUCCGUGCCAGCAGCAGCGGUAAUACGCGGGAUGCGAGCGUUAUCCGGAUGUAUUGGGGUUAAAGGGUGCGAAGGCGGAGGUGCAAGUCAGCGGUCAAAUUGCGGGGCUCAACCCCGUACUGCCGUUGAAACUGCAUCCCUUGAGUGCGCGAGAAGUAUGCGGAAUUCGUGGUGUAGCGGUGAAAUGCGUAGAUAUCACGCAGAACUCCGAUUGCGAAGGCAGAUUACCGGAGCGCAACUGACGCUGAUGCACGAAAGCGUGGGUAUCGAACAGGAUUAGAUACCCGAGUAGUC